GAUGAACUCUGGCGGCGUGCCUAAUACAUGCAAGUCGAGCGAACGGACGAGAAGCUUGCUUCUCUGAUGUUAGCGGCGGACGGGUGAGUAACACGUGGAUAACCUACCUAUAAGACUGGGAUAACUUCGGGAAACCGGAGCUAAUACCGGAUAAUAUUUUGAACCGCAUGGUUCAAAAGUGAAAGACGGUCUUGCUGUCACUUAUAGAUGGAUCCGCGCUGCAUUAGCUAGUUGGUAAGGUAACGGCUUACCAAGGCAACGAUGCAUAGCCGACCUGAGAGGGUGAUCGGCCACACUGGAACUGAGACACGGUCCAGACUCCUACGGGAGGCAGCAGUAGGGAAUCUUCCGCAAUGGGCGAAAGCCUGACGGAGCAACGCCGCGUGAGUGGUGAAGGUUUUCGGAUCGUAAAACUCUGUUAUUAGGGAAGAACAUAUGUGUAAGUAACUGUGCACAUCUUGACGGUACCUAAUCAGAAAGCCACGGCUAACUACGUG
RNAcentral lists this ribosomal RNA (497 nucleotides) under uncultured bacterium. RNAcentral describes it as "partial 16S ribosomal RNA". It matches the Rfam family "Bacterial small subunit ribosomal RNA", at positions 28 to 507 of the family's 1533-position model. The record is from RNAcentral.